Long non-coding RNA from Herpailurus yagouaroundi (jaguarundi), 378 nucleotides. RefSeq lists it as uncharacterized. Lineage: Eukaryota; Metazoa; Chordata; Mammalia; Carnivora; Felidae. The record is from RefSeq and is a predicted model, not a curated record. The transcript is spliced from 2 exons.
GUCGGUUUUCAUUUAGUAAAGGGAAUUUUAUAUGUACUUUUCAAAAAAUAAUUCACUCAUUCAUUCAUAUAUUUUUAAAAAGAAAACAUUUGCCUGAACCGCCCUCAGAUGCUAACUGCUUUAGACAAAGUUCAUGAUGUCUGGGGACAGUACAGAGUUUCCGUACCCAGCCAAGAUGCAGAGAAGACAGGUGACUACGUGGAGCUCAGAGACCAGGUCCGGGCUGGAGAGCAAUCGGUAUCCUAUGAAAACGAAAACAAAAAUCCCAAAAUACAAGCAAGAUGACUCUUAGGCAGAAGAAAUGGGUAUUUUCUUGCAUUUCAGUUUCGUUAGUGGUGAUAAAGUAAACAGAGACAGGCCAGCGCCAUUCAAACGGGG